AUGGUAGUUAUCGUUUUUGGUGGAAUAGACUUUGACGAUCCGACUACGAACAUGAGGAUGUCGCGCCUUAGCAAUCGCUAAACCAACUCCGAGAACUAUGUAGGCAUGACCCGAGACACUUCUCGGUCAAUAUCCAAUAGCGGGACCUAGAUGCCCAUAUUAGAUCCUACAUAUUCUACGAAGAUCUUAUCGGUUGAACCUCUGUGCGAAG
Molecule: long non-coding RNA, 211 nt
Filed under: Hordeum vulgare
Lineage: Eukaryota; Viridiplantae; Streptophyta; Magnoliopsida; Poales; Poaceae
Description: long non-coding RNA (HVUL_LNC003539)
Source: RNAcentral